RNAcentral lists this long non-coding RNA (235 nucleotides) under Elaeis guineensis (African oil palm). RNAcentral describes it as "long non-coding RNA (EGUI_LNC027849)". The record is from RNAcentral. Lineage: Eukaryota; Viridiplantae; Streptophyta; Magnoliopsida; Arecales; Arecaceae.
CUUCAAACUAGAUGAAUCCGACCAGUGUAAGAAGACAGGCAUGAUAAGAAGGACAAAAGCAAGGUAACUUGCUUUAAUUGUCAUAAGAAGGGUCAUUUUGCUUGAGAGUGUACUGAGCUGAACAAGAUUUAUCUUGAUUCCUUGGCUCUAUAUCUUUAUGUUCUAGUUGUUUAUUUCUGACUGAUUCUCAUUUUAUGUGGAUUGUAAACUCAGAAGCGACCGACUACAUAACUUG